GCAGUCGAGCGAAUGGAUUGAGAGCUUGCUCUCAAGAAGUUAGCGGCGGACGGGUGAGUAACACGUGGGUAACCUGCCCAUAAGACUGGGAUAACUCCGGGAAACCGGGGCUAAUACCGGAUAAUAUUUUGAACUGCAUGGUUCGAAAUUGAAAGGCGGCUUCGGCUGUCACUUAUGGAUGGACCCGCGUCGCAUUAGCUAGUUGGUGAGGUAACGGCUCACCAAGGCAACGAUGCGUAGCCGACCUGAGAGGGUGAUCGGCCACACUGGGACUGAGACACGGCCCAGACUCCUACGGGAGGCAGCAGUAGGGAAUCUUCCGCAAUGGACGAAAGUCUGACGGAGCAACGCCGCGUGAGUGAUGAAGGCUUUCGGGUCGUAAAACUCUGUUGUUAGGGAAGAACAAGUGCUAGUUGAAUAAGCUGGCACCUUGACGGUACCUAACCAGAAAGCCACGGCUAACUACGUGCCAGCAGCCGCGGUAAUACGUAGGUGGCAAGCGUUAUCCGGAAUUAUUGGGCGUAAAGCGCGCG
Molecule: ribosomal RNA, 533 nt
Filed under: Bacillus mobilis
Lineage: Bacteria; Bacillati; Bacillota; Bacilli; Caryophanales; Bacillaceae
Description: bacterial SSU rRNA
Rfam family: Bacterial small subunit ribosomal RNA
Source: RNAcentral